GUAUUUAUCUCUUAUUGUUUAUAG
RNAcentral lists this microRNA (24 nucleotides) under Gallus gallus (chicken). RNAcentral describes it as "microRNA Ros-gga". Lineage: Eukaryota; Metazoa; Chordata; Aves; Galliformes; Phasianidae. The record is from RNAcentral.